Molecule: long non-coding RNA, 1862 nt
Filed under: Scleropages formosus (Asian bonytongue)
Lineage: Eukaryota; Metazoa; Chordata; Actinopteri; Osteoglossiformes; Osteoglossidae
Description: lncRNA (ENSSFOG00015028771.1)
Source: RNAcentral
CUGCCUGCGACGCAUUCCGGAAUUUACCGCUUACUUACUCCAUGUCAUCGCUCCCGCCAUGCGAAAAUCACACUCUCGAGUUCGCGUUCCAAAAUUUAGCUGUAGGGGCGUGUUGAAAACAAACAAACAAAGAAAAAAAAAUCACUCCAGCGCCGGGUUGAGACGUGCGAUCAAAGGCACAAACCUUCGUUGUGGUCCUGACGGCAGGACAGUUUAAUGCGUGGUGCGUGUGUGACUGUGCAGUGACAUUUAAACGGCUCCCUCAAAGGAAGCGCUGCUUGACGGUGCCUCUCUUUGUUUCUUUGCCGGAGUGAGGUGCGAACCAGCCCCCCGGUCACCCGUCUCCACGUGCGCGGUCUCGGUCGACCCACCACGGCCUAGCCCUCGCCCGUAGUGACCCCAUGUCGGGGAUUCGUCCACACAGUGCAGCGGUCAGUAGUGGUUCUCAGGAGGCCGUUCCUUCAACAGCCAGAUGGAGCCCUGCUGCUCUACCUUGAGGGUGAUUACGGAAACCCGGCGCCUCAACUGCCUCACCGCCUGGGAUUUUCAGAGGGUUUUUACAAGCUGUUUGUCUCGAGGAACGUGCGGCCGGGGCGAGGCCGUCUCAGAGAACAAGAGGCCCUCAGUGCCGGAGGCCCCGCUGUUCUGAACACUACACCCUCCUCUCGGCUCUCAGCUGCAUUCAUCUUUGAGCAUAUUCACCGGCGCAGCAGACGGUUGUCUAGGUCCGCGUGUUUUUUUUUUGUGGGGGGGGAUGUUGAGCGGUACCGUUUGAAGCAAGGGUAUCCAAGGGUCACAUGGGUAAAAAUCAUAGUAAGUGACAUACGGAAUCUGAAGUGUUCAAGGUGGAAAAACAUUACAUUCAGAAUUGUAUUUUGUUUAGGUACAGUGUGUGUCUUAUUGUAUCACCAUGUAAAAUUUGUUUAUGGUACAUACUGUAUACUAUAUAUUAGUAAUUUUGCAGUCGUUCUUGAGUCUGUAAAUUCCUCUUUUCCCCGUCUGUGUGCGUCGGCCAGUUCUCCUUCAUCUCUUCGAUCCGUCCGGCCCCUCCCUGGCACCUCGUCUCUGCUGAUCUCAUCUCCCUCCAUUUUGUCUGCACCCCCCAAACCCCCCCAAACCCCCACAACCCCCCACCACUGGCACACCGCUGAUUCAAACCCAUCCUCCACCGUGGCCAAAGAGGCCUCACCGGGCUCGGGGAAGUUAAAGAAUUGCGCUCUUUCAUCCGGCUCUUGUCACCAGGAGUUCUGCCGUGAUGGAACAUAAUUGGCAUCGUUUCACCGCGGGGAUGGAGUUCGAGGUGGGGGGGCACCGGGCUUCUUGGACGCCCUCCACAGUAACAACUAAAUUGAUUUGAAAAGCUGCAGAGGGGGGCAGAGUACCAACUACUCUGGAACCUGAAAUGUCCUGCUGUGGUGGCAUUGUGUGUGUGUGUGUGUGUGUGUGUGUGUGUGUGUGUGUGUGUCUCUCCCUCAGUUUUCAGUUUUAUGGUUUAUUGGCUUGACAAAUUUUGAUACAGAAAAGCCAUUGUUGAAAAACUCUAUGCACAAAUAUUGCUUUGUAAUAAUGAUGAUGAUAAUAACUAUAAUAUUAAUUGUGCCAGUGUGCCUUCAUUUCUAUGGGAUGUUGAAAAUAUCACCCAUGAACCCCAGUGCUAAAUUGUACUGGGUGGUAAAUCAGUGUAUUUGGCUUGGUGUACACCACCUCACACUAAGUCACAUUGGAGAAAAAUGUCACUUAAGUGCAUGAAUGUGUAAAAGUGUAAGAAUCUGCUGCCCACGUUUCAAGCCUCAGCACAGCAGCCCAGUUGUGCUGCAAGUCUUUCAAAUAAAAAUGGUCAUGACCACCGAAGAGGGUAGCUG